CAUAAUCCUCCCACUAACUUCACAAAGUCAGUUUAUGGAAGACUAGAGAUAAGUCAGUUCGACCAAUAAAUCAUAAAUCCUUCUACUAACUUUACCAAGCCAUGAAGAGGACUAAGACAAGUCAUGCUCGGGGCAUCUAAAUCAGUUAUACUGAUUUUUUAUGUAGCAUGGGUUAGCAUGAAUCAAUGAGCAACCAAAUCAAAAGUUGAUUCACCACAUUGACUAGGUAAGUG
Molecule: long non-coding RNA, 233 nt
Filed under: Elaeis guineensis (African oil palm)
Lineage: Eukaryota; Viridiplantae; Streptophyta; Magnoliopsida; Arecales; Arecaceae
Description: long non-coding RNA (EGUI_LNC033700)
Source: RNAcentral